AAAAACAUGUCUAUUAUGGUGAUAUUUAUAGUCUAGCCUGCUCAGUGACAUAAAAGUGUUAAAUAGCCGCGGUAUCCUGACCGUGCAAAGGUAGCAUAAUCAUUAGUUUUUUAAUUGGAAACUAGAAUGAAUGGUUGGACAAGAAAAAAACUGUCUCUUUUAUUAAAAUUGAAAUUAACUUUUAAGUGAAAAGGCUUAAAUUUACUAAGGGGACGAUAAGACCCUAUAAAGCUUUAUAAAUUCAGGAAUUUUAGAUAUUUUAUAUAUAAAUCUAUUUUUUGAUAAUUUAUUUGGUUGGGGCGACAAGGGUAUAAUUAUAAAUAACUGUCAUUAAUGUUUAUACAUAUAUUUUUGAUUUAAAUUUGAUAUAGUAGUUGAUCCUUUUUAAGGAUUUAAAGAUCAAGUUACUUUAGGGAUAACAGCGUAAUUUUUUCUGAGAGUCCUUAUCAAAGAAGAAGUUUGCGACCUCGAUGUUGAAUUAAAAUGUCUUUAUAGUGCAGCAGCUAUAAAAGAAGGUCUGUUCGACCUUUAAUUUUUUACGUGAUC
This 546-nucleotide ribosomal RNA is filed under the name Monomia gladiator. Its description in RNAcentral is "partial 16S ribosomal RNA". It matches the Rfam family "Archaeal large subunit ribosomal RNA", at positions 1901 to 2674 of the family's 2987-position model. Lineage: Eukaryota; Metazoa; Arthropoda; Malacostraca; Decapoda; Portunidae. The record is from RNAcentral.